RNAcentral lists this ribosomal RNA (592 nucleotides) under Halomonas sp. SpR8. RNAcentral's name for it is "bacterial SSU rRNA". It matches the Rfam family "Bacterial small subunit ribosomal RNA", at positions 1 to 590 of the family's 1533-position model. Lineage: Bacteria; Pseudomonadati; Pseudomonadota; Gammaproteobacteria; Oceanospirillales; Halomonadaceae. The record is from RNAcentral.
AAACUGAAGAGUUUGAUCAUGGCUCAGAUUGAACGCUGGCGGCAGGCCUAACACAUGCAAGUCGAGCGGUAACAGGGGUAGCUUGCUACCCGCUGACGAGCGGCGGACGGGUGAGUAAUGCAUAGGAAUCUGCCCGGUAGUGGGGGAUAACCUGGGGAAACCCAGGCUAAUACCGCAUACGUCCUACGGGAGAAAGGGGGCUUUGGCUCCCGCUAUUGGAUGAGCCUAUGUCGGAUUAGCUAGUUGGUGAGGUAACGGCUCACCAAGGCGACGAUCCGUAGCUGGUCUGAGAGGAUGAUCAGCCACAUCGGGACUGAGACACGGCCCGAACUCCUACGGGAGGCAGCAGUGGGGAAUAUUGGACAAUGGGGGCAACCCUGAUCCAGCCAUGCCGCGUGUGUGAAGAAGGCCCUCGGGUUGUAAAGCACUUUCAGCGAGGAAGAACGCCUGGUGGUUAAUACCCAUCAGGAAAGACAUCACUCGCAGAAGAAGCACCGGCUAACUCCGUGCCAGCAGCCGCGGUAAUACGGAGGGUGCAAGCGUUAAUCGGAAUUACUGGGCGUAAAGCGCGCGUAGGUGGCUUGAUAAGCCG